Molecule: ribosomal RNA, 451 nt
Filed under: uncultured bacterium
Lineage: Bacteria
Description: partial 16S ribosomal RNA
Rfam family: Bacterial small subunit ribosomal RNA
Source: RNAcentral
GAUGAAUGCUGGCGGCGUGCCUAACACAUGCAAGUCGAGCGGCAGCGAGGGGUGCUUGCACCCUGUCGGCGAGCGGCGAACGGCUGAGUAACGCGUAGGAAUUUGCCCCAAAGUGAGGAAUAAUUGCCCGAAAGGGUAGCUAAUGCCGCAUAGGGUCUUCGGAUUAAAGGAUUUAUCCGCUUUGGGAGAAGCCUGCGUUGGAUUAGGUUGUUGGUAGGGUAAUGGCCUACCAAGCCGACGAUCCAUAGCUGGUCUGAGAGGAUGAUCAGCCAGACUGGAACUGAGACACGGUCCAGACUCCUACGGGAGGCAGCAGUGAGGAAUCUUCCACAAUGGGCGAAAGCCUGAUGGAGCAACGCCGCGUGAAGGAUGAAGGCCUUCGGGUUGUAAACUUCUUUUAUGAGUGAAGAAUAUGACGGUAACUCAUGAAUAAGCACCGGCUAACUACGUG